This is a small nuclear RNA of Dicentrarchus labrax (European seabass), 116 nucleotides long. Its record names the gene U5. It matches the Rfam family "U5 spliceosomal RNA". From Rfam's summary of the family: U5 RNA is a component of both types of known spliceosome. The precise function of this molecule is unknown, though it is known that the 5' loop is required for splice site selection and p220 binding, and that both the 3' stem-loop and the Sm site are important for Sm protein binding and cap methylation. The record is from Ensembl. NCBI's taxonomy places the organism in Eukaryota, Metazoa, Chordata, Actinopteri, Moronidae.
ACACUCUUGUUUCUCUUCAGAUCGUAUAAAUCUUUCGCCUUUUACUAAAGAUUUCCGUGGAGAGGAACAAUAAGAGUUUCAACUAAUUUUUUGAUGCCCUGCUUUAUUGCGGGGCU